RNAcentral lists this microRNA precursor (136 nucleotides) under Hordeum vulgare. RNAcentral describes it as "microRNA MIR1122". It matches the Rfam family "MIR1120/MIR1122 microRNA precursor family". Lineage: Eukaryota; Viridiplantae; Streptophyta; Magnoliopsida; Poales; Poaceae. The record is from RNAcentral.
CUAGUACUCCCUCCGUCCCAAAAUUAUUGUCUUAGAUUUGUCUAGAUAUGAAUGUAUCUAGUCAAGUUUUAGUAUUUAGAUACAUCUAUUUCUAGACAAAGCUAAGACAAGAAUUUUCGGACGGAGGGAGUACUAG